RNAcentral lists this ribosomal RNA (497 nucleotides) under uncultured bacterium. RNAcentral describes it as "partial 16S ribosomal RNA". It matches the Rfam family "Bacterial small subunit ribosomal RNA", at positions 28 to 507 of the family's 1533-position model. The record is from RNAcentral.
GAUGAACGCUGGCGGCGUGCCUAAUACAUGCAAGUCGAGCGAACAGACGAGGAGCUUGCUCCUCUGACGUUAGCGGCGGACGGGUGAGUAACACGUGGAUAACCUACCUAUAAGACUGGGAUAACUUCGGGAAACCGGAGCUAAUACCGGAUAAUAUAUUGAACCGCAUGGUUCAAUAGUGAAAGACGGUUUUGCUGUCACUUAUAGAUGGAUCCGCGCCGCAUUAGCUAGUUGGUAAGGUAACGGCUUACCAAGGCAACGAUGCGUAGCCGACCUGAGAGGGUGAUCGGCCACACUGGAACUGAGACACGGUCCAGACUCCUACGGGAGGCAGCAGUAGGGAAUCUUCCGCAAUGGACGAAAGCCUGACGGAGCAACGCCGCGUGGGUGAUGAAGGUCUUCGGAUCGUAAAACUCUGUUAUUGGGGAAGAACAAAUGUGUAAGUAACUAUGCACGUCUUGACGGUACCUAAUCAGAAAGCCACGGCUAACUACGUG